GACGAACGCUGGCGGCGUGCCUAAUACAUGCAAGUCGAACGAACUCUGGUAUUGAUUGGUGCUUGCAUCAUGAUUUACAUUUGAGUGAGUGGCGAACUGGUGAGUAACACGUGGGAAACCUGCCCAGAAGCGGGGGAUAACACCUGGAAACAGAUGCUAAUACCGCAUAACAACUUGGACCGCAUGGUCCGAGUUUGAAAGAUGGCUUCGGCUAUCACUUUUGGAUGGUCCCGCGGCGUAUUAGCUAGAUGGUGGGGUAACGGCUCACCAUGGCAAUGAUACGUAGCCGACCUGAGAGGGUAAUCGGCCACAUUGGGACUGUGACACGGCCCAAACUCCUACGGGAGGCAGCAGUAGGGAAUCUUCCACAAUGGACGAAAGUCUGAUGGAGCAACGCCGCGUGAGUGAAGAAGGGUUUCGGCUCGUAAAACUCUGUUGUUAAAGAAGAACAUAUCUGAGAGUAACUGUUCAGGUAUUGACGGUAUUUAACCAGAAAGCCACGGCUAACUACGUGCCAGCAGCCGCGGUAAUACGUAGGUGGCAAGCGUUGUCCGGAUUUAUUGGGCGUAAAGCGAGCGCAGGCGGUUUUUUAAGUCUGAUGUGAAAGCCUUCGGCUCAACCGAAGAAGUGCAUCGGAAACUGGGAAACUUGAGUGCAGAAGAGGACAGUGGAACUCCAUGUGUAGCGGUGAAAUGCGUAGAUAUAUGGAAGAACACCAGUGGCGAAGGCGGCUGUCUGGUCUGUAACUGACGCUGAGGCUCGAAAGUAUGGGUAGCAAACAGGAUUAGAUACCCUGGUAGUCCAUACCGUAAACGAUGAAUGCUAAGUGUGGAGGGUUUCCGCCCUUCAGUGCUGCAGCUAACGCAUUAAGCAUUCCGCCUGGGGAGUACGGCCGCAAGGCUGAAACUCAAAGGAAUUGACGGGGGCCCGCACAAGCGGUGGAGCAUGUGGUUUAAUUCGAAGCUACGCGAAGAACCUUACCAGGUCUUGACAUACUAUGCAAAUCUAAGAGAUUAGACGUUCCCUUCGGGGACAUGGAUACAGGUGGUGCAUGGUUGUCGUCAGCUCGUGUCGUGAGAUGUUGGGUUAAGUCCCGCAACGAGCGCAACCCUUAUUAUCAGUUGCCAGCAUUAAGUUGGGCACUCUGGUGAGACUGCCGGUGACAAACCGGAGGAAGGUGGGGAUGACGUCAAAUCAUCAUGCCCCUUAUGACCUGGGCUACACACGUGCUACAAUGGAUGGUACAACGAGUUGCGAACUCGCGAGAGUAAGCUAAUCUCUUAAAGCCAUUCUCAGUUCGGAUUGUAGGCUGCAACUCGCCUACAUGAAGUCGGAAUCGCUAGUAAUCGCGGAUCAGCAUGCCGCGGUGAAUACGUUCCCGGGCCUUGUACACACCGCCCGUCACACCAUGAGAGUUUGUAACACCCAAAGUCGGUGGGGUAACCUUUUAGGAACCAGCCGCCUAAGGUGGGACAGAUGAUUAGGGUG
RNAcentral lists this ribosomal RNA (1488 nucleotides) under Lactiplantibacillus pentosus. Its description in RNAcentral is "bacterial SSU rRNA". It matches the Rfam family "Bacterial small subunit ribosomal RNA". The record is from RNAcentral. Lineage: Bacteria; Bacillati; Bacillota; Bacilli; Lactobacillales; Lactobacillaceae.